UACAGAGGUGGCAAGCGUUGUUCGGAAUUACUGGGCGUAAAGGGCGCGUAGGCGGCCAUCUAAGUCAGACGUGAAAUCCCCCGGCUUAACCUGGGAACUGCGUCUGAUACUGGAAGGCUUGAGUAUGGGAGAGGGAUGUAGAAUUCCAGGUGUAGCGGUGAAAUGCGUAGAUAUCUGGAGGAAUACCGGUGGCGAAGGCGGCAUCCUGGACCAUUACUGACGCUGAGGCGCGAAAGCGUGGGGAGCGAACAGG
RNAcentral lists this ribosomal RNA (253 nucleotides) under uncultured bacterium. RNAcentral describes it as "partial 16S ribosomal RNA". It matches the Rfam family "Bacterial small subunit ribosomal RNA", at positions 524 to 776 of the family's 1533-position model. The record is from RNAcentral.